UACGAGGGGGGCAAAUGUUGUUCGGAAUCACUGGGCGUAAAGGGAGCGUAGGCGGGUUUUUAAGUCAGGUGUUUAAUCCCGGGGCCCAACCCCGGACAGGCACUUGAAACUGGGAAUCUUGAAUAGUGGAGAGGUCAGUGGAAUUGGGGGUGUAGCGGUGGAAUGCGUAGAGAUCGGCAGGAACACCCAGGGGGAAACCAGCCGACUGGGCAUCUACUGACGCUGAGGUGCGAGAGCGUGGGGAGCGAACCGG
RNAcentral lists this ribosomal RNA (253 nucleotides) under uncultured bacterium. RNAcentral's name for it is "partial 16S ribosomal RNA". It matches the Rfam family "Bacterial small subunit ribosomal RNA", at positions 524 to 776 of the family's 1533-position model. The record is from RNAcentral.